Molecule: ribosomal RNA, 419 nt
Filed under: Adenomera sp. G ABGD cluster 56
Lineage: Eukaryota; Metazoa; Chordata; Amphibia; Anura; Leptodactylidae
Description: partial large subunit ribosomal RNA
Rfam family: Bacterial large subunit ribosomal RNA
Source: RNAcentral
CUUGAUCUCCAAUAAGAGGUCCAGCCUGCCCAGUGACACUGUUCAACGGCCGCGGUAUCCUAACCGUGCGAAGGUAGCGUAAUCACUUGUUCUUUAAAUGAGGACUAGUAUGAAAGGCACCACGAGAGUCAUGCUGUCUCCUUUCUCUGAUCAGUAAAACUAAUCUCCCCGUGAAGAAGCGGGAAUAAAAAUAUAAGACGAGAAGACCCUAUGGAGCUUUAAACAAAAAAUACCUGCCUACCUCUCUCUAAUUUCAGAAAAACUUCCUACCCUGGCACCAUAAUUUCUAGUUUUCGGUUGGGGUGACCGCGGAACAAAAACCAACCUCCGCAAUGAAAAAUCCCUCCAUUAAGUCAAGGACUACAAUCCUACACAUCAACAAAUUGACAUCAGUUGACCCAACACGUUGAUCAAUGAAC